Molecule: RNA transcript, 1318 nt
Organism: Triticum aestivum (bread wheat)
Lineage: Eukaryota; Viridiplantae; Streptophyta; Magnoliopsida; Poales; Poaceae
Gene name: peroxisomal membrane protein 11-3
Exons: 3
Source: RefSeq, a predicted model, not a curated record
GUGAUUUUUAGUCUCCCACCUUCUCAAUUCUCAUUCCCUACUCCAACUUCCCCCGAACCAAACAGGCUGGCAUAGUAUACGCAACCACAGCCCACGGGUACCUCCCCGCCGCCCCCAACAGCCGCCAUGGCCUCCGAGGCUCGCAAGACCGCCGCUGCAGCGCGCCCGCCUCCCCGCGACUUCCUCGCCGACCUCGAGGCCUACCUGGCCCGCCGCGACGGUGUCGACAAGCUCCUCAAGAUCUCCCGCUACGCCGCGCGCCUCGCCCUCGCCGCAGGGCCGCUGCCCCCGCCGGCCUCCGCGCGCCUCAAGUCCUUCGAGUCCAGCCUCGGCCUCAGCCGCAAGGCCUUCCGCCUGGGCAAGUUCGUCCAGGACGUCAACGCCCUCCGCGCGCACCCCGGCCCCCUCCCUCCGCCCUUCGUGCUCCUCGCCUACGGCGGCGAGGGCGUCUACUACUUCAUCGAGCAGUUCGUCUGGCUCGCGAAAGCUGGCCUCCUCCCGGCGCACCUCCUCCCCCGCCUCCAGUGUCUCAGCGCCUGGGCCGAGCUGCUGGGCUACGUCGGCUCCAUCACCAUCAAGCUGGAAGAAGUGACGAAGAUGGAGUCUUCAAUCAAGAUGCGGCGGGCGGAGGGUUGUGGGGAGGAGAACCAGGCGGUGACGACGAUGCGGGGGAAGCUGCUGCUGAAGCGUCUGUCCGUUGUGCAGGACGUGGCGGAUGCCUUCAUGGCGCUAGGGGACGUGACUAACGGGAAGGGGUUGCUCGGUAGCUCCACGCUGACGGCGUCCGCCGGAUUGCUGUCGGCGCUGAUCAGCACGCACAAGAACUGGAAUUCUUGCUGAAGUCCCAAGGCCUCUUGACCCUCUGCUACCAGGGGCGAGGUGUGAGUGACGUAGGGAGAAGUAGGUACUACGGAGCUGUAAGCAAUUCUGCCCCAUGAUUGAUUGCCAUAUAGGCGUUGUCAUUGGUGUUUAAAUCAGCCAACCUGCUGCAUAAGUUCUGCAAAUCGUUGUUCCAGCUGGCCAACUUGGCAUUGUUGGUCCCAAAUGCAGAGAUGCUUCAGGUCCGGCUUUGCUUUAGAUUAUAUGAACUGUUAGAAAUAGUUUCAGAUUGAGAUGAAAGAACCUUACCGCUUUCUUAUCCAAUGGAUCUUGAGAACAAAAAGCUUGUAGUUAGGUAGAUGGCUGUGAAAGCACGUCCUGUGUCCCAGCUCUAUGUAACACGGUCGUGGAGGCAAAGACAUUGUUCAGGUGAUCUGUUUUCAGCCCACUGUUGAGGCCUGAAAACAUAUAGCUGUAAAAGCAUAUUAGUAUCUGCUUA